This 876-nucleotide ribosomal RNA is filed under the name Triticum aestivum (bread wheat). Its description in RNAcentral is "partial small subunit ribosomal RNA". The record is from RNAcentral. Lineage: Eukaryota; Viridiplantae; Streptophyta; Magnoliopsida; Poales; Poaceae.
AUGGAGGCGCUUUCUGAGAUUCGUGCUGAGGAGACUCGCUUACGUGGUGCUGGUUUGCUGGAGGUUCCCUCUGUGCUCGCUACUCGUGCUCCUACGCCACUUGCUCCACCGACCCCUUCUCGCUCGAGUGCUCCGCCGCUCUUGCCCACUCCUUCUGGAGGCUCAGGUCGCCCCCGUCCACAUUGCGUCUAUUGCAACAAUGAUGGUCAUCUUGAGUCUCAGUGCUACACGAAGAAGAAACACCUGCGCAAGGCUUGCUCAUCAUCUUCCGGGACUUCGUCAUCUACCUCGACAGCUUCAGCCAGUGCUUUGACUGAGCAGGAUAUUCUGAGACUUAAGCGUCUGGUCGCGGCUUCAGGUUCUUCCUCGACGGGUACUGCCGGUUCUGUGACUGAUGCUUCCCGCACUGAGCAAUCACUCUCUACACAGUCAGGUACAUCCCCCUGGGUUCUGGACUCUGGAGCUUCUUUUCAUAUGUCUUCUCAUUCUUCCACUUUGUCCUCUCUUCGAUCACUGGAUUCUCCUAUUCAUGUCUUCACUGCUGAUGGUACUCCACUUUCUGUUGCUAGUAGAGGCAAUCUUACUACUCCUUCUUAUUCUGUUCCUGAUGUUGCUCAUGUUCCUCGACUUACCAUGAAUUUGUUUUCUGCUGGUCAACUUACGGAUUCUGGUUGUCGCGUCAUCCUUGACGUUGACUCUUGUUCUAUCCAGGACCGUCACACGCACACUCUGGUUGGGGCUGGCCCUCGCCGCCGUGAUUCUCAUGGUCAUUGGGAGUUGGACUGGCUUCAUGUUCCUUCUGCUGCCACCACCAUCGCCAGUUCUUCCGCUUCUGUCGCCUCCGUCACUGGUUCCUUCCAGCAGUGGCAUCAUUGA